This 324-nucleotide ribosomal RNA is filed under the name uncultured eukaryote. Its description in RNAcentral is "partial 18S ribosomal RNA". It matches the Rfam family "Eukaryotic small subunit ribosomal RNA", at positions 1470 to 1796 of the family's 1831-position model. The record is from RNAcentral.
CCCUUAGAUGUCCUGGGCUGCACGCGCGCUACACUGAUGUGUCCAGUAAGCACCUAACCUCUUCCGAAGGGAACGGGUAACCUUAGCAAAGCACAUCGUGGUGGGGAUAGAUUAUUGCAAUUAUUAGUCUUGAACGAGGAAUUCCUAGUAAGCACAAGUCAUCAGCUUGUGUUGAUUACGUCCCUGCCCUUUGUACACACCGCCCGUCGCUCCUACCGAUUGAAUGUUCCGGUGAAUACUUCGGACUGCGAGGUCUGCAGUUUCUGCGUUCCUUGCGGAAAGUUGAAUAAACCUUAACAUUUAGAGGAAGGAGAAGUCGUAACA